RNAcentral lists this ribosomal RNA (329 nucleotides) under uncultured eukaryote. Its description in RNAcentral is "partial 18S ribosomal RNA". It matches the Rfam family "Eukaryotic small subunit ribosomal RNA", at positions 1470 to 1796 of the family's 1831-position model. The record is from RNAcentral.
CCCUUAGAUGUUCUGGGCCGCACGCGCGCUACACUGACGAUGGCAACGAGUUUUUCCUUCGCCGAAAGGUGUGGGUAAUCUUUUGAAACAUCGUCGUGCUGGGGAUAGAUCAUUGCAAUUUUUGAUCUUGAACGAGGAAUUCCUAGUAAGCGCGAGUCAUCAGCUCGCGUUGAUUACUUCCCUGCCCUUUGUACACACCGCCCGUCGCUACUACCGAUUGAAUGGUUUAGUGAGGACUCCUGAUUGGCGCCGCCGCCCCGGCAACGGAGCAGCGGACUGCCGAAAAGUUGUUCAAACUUGAUCAUUUAGAGGAAGUAAAAGUCGUAACA